Molecule: transfer RNA, 110 nt
Filed under: Candidatus Woesearchaeota archaeon
Lineage: Archaea; Nanobdellati; Candidatus Woesearchaeota
Description: tRNA-Asn
Rfam family: tRNA
About the family: Transfer RNA (tRNA) molecules are approximately 80 nucleotides in length. Their secondary structure includes four short double-helical elements and three loops (D, anti-codon, and T loops). Further hydrogen bonds mediate the characteristic L-shaped molecular structure. tRNAs have two regions of fundamental functional importance: the anti-codon, which is responsible for specific mRNA codon recognition, and the 3' end, to which the tRNAs corresponding amino acid is attached (by aminoacyl-tRNA synthetases). tRNAs cope with the degeneracy of the genetic code in two manners: having more than one tRNA (with a specific anti-codon) for a particular amino acid; and 'wobble' base-pairing, i.e. permitting non-standard base-pairing at the 3rd anti-codon position.
Source: RNAcentral
GCCUCUGUAGCUUAGCAGGUAGAGCGCGCGGCUGUUAACCGCGAGGUCGGCAGUUCGAGUGGCAUAAAAUUGGCUUGCCAAUUUAUGGCUGGAAAAUCUGCCCAGAGGCG